Molecule: small nucleolar RNA, 108 nt
Organism: Eutrema salsugineum
Lineage: Eukaryota; Viridiplantae; Streptophyta; Magnoliopsida; Brassicales; Brassicaceae
Rfam family: Plant small nucleolar RNA R71
About the family: R71 is a member of the C/D box family of snoRNAs containing the C (UGAUGA) and D (CUGA) box motifs. Multiple nearly identical copies of this snoRNA have been identified in Arabidopsis, and it is thought to function as a 2'-O-ribose methylation guide for 18S ribosomal RNA.
Source: Rfam
UAUCUAUGGUGUGGACAAUUUCAUUGGUAUUCCCUAAAUCUUUCCCAAGUAUCUAAAAGAUCUUCAUCUUCUUUUUGUCUAAAAGUUGUUAUCUUGUUUCUUAAGAGA